Molecule: long non-coding RNA, 1289 nt
Filed under: Apteryx haastii (Great spotted kiwi)
Lineage: Eukaryota; Metazoa; Chordata; Aves; Apterygiformes; Apterygidae
Description: lncRNA (ENSAHAG00000006689.1)
Source: RNAcentral
GCCCUGAAGUCCAGCAGUGAGACACCACGGGAGGAGCAGCGCCGGGGCUGGCUGCUGCGGGUGCCCAUGCAUCUGCCCCGGCUGCCCGGGAAAACCAGGAUCUCGCACUUGCACAACCUCCCGCGGCCGCUCCUGCUUCCCCAGCCAAGGUCAGCGCACGCCCCUGCGCCCGUGGGUGCUUUCCCUCGCCUCCGUCGCCCUCCGGGCCCUGCACACAGCUUCCCACGCCGGGGUGGCAAGCGAAGCGCAGCGCGGCCCGCCAAACCUCGCCUUUGAACAGCCCCACGGCCCAGCGGUGGGAGCAGAGUUAAAAACGGUCAAACUGGGAGAGGGGACUGGGAGGAAGAGCCCGCGGUCCGUCACGCGGACCUGCCCCGGGAGCCUCUGCUCGGCCGCGGCAGGCAAGGGUAAGGCUAGCGGGCUGGCGCUAACGAGGAACGCCCUGGGUAACGACUGCCGCAGGAAUAGGCCAGCGCUACUCCCUUUUCCUCUCCGAAACAACAAAAGUGGCUGUUUCAUCCGACUCUCCGCCUCGGCUAUUCUUAGUGCCCCUCCUCGCGUGCCUGCAAAGGAAAAAGUUUCCCGGUUUCCUAAGAGCUGGGAAGGUUUCUGCUCCCACCCUGCCGCGCGGCGCCGGCCGGGCCCUGACCCGGCAAAGGCACCGGCGCGGUUUGCUUUAGCACGCACUGACCCCCCCGGGAGGUUCCUAAAUCCUGCGAGAGGCGCAGGYGGCAGCUGCAGGUGCCUCUGCGGGUGGAGAGGAAGGGAGAGCAAAGCCCAUCCCGACGCCGGGGCCGUGGGCUGCCCUGGCCCUGCAUCCCGCUUGGGAAAGGGAUGGGAAAGGGCCAGAGCCCGUGGAGAUGAGGAGUGGGGAGGCGAGGACKCGGCUCCCGGGAGCGACCUGGCCCUGCGGCAGCGGUGCUGCAGUGCUCAGGCCGGGAAGCCGGGAAGCGCUCUGAUCCCGCUGGGAAGCUGGGAGGGCAGCGACCUGGCCCCAGGGGGAGCAACUGGGCCCCACGGGGAAGCGAUCUGGCCCCACUAGGGAGGGAUCUGGCCCCACGGGGAAGCAAUCCAGCUGCACUGGAGAGCGAUCUGGCCCCACGGGCAGUGAUCGGGCCCCACGGGAAGCGAUCUGGCCCCACGGGGGAGCAAGCCCCGGGGGCGGCUCCCGGCUGGAGCCCCGGGCUCCCGGCCCCAGAGCCGGGGGGGGUCCGGUGCUGUCCCGGCCCCGGGCAGAGGCCGCAGAACCGCCGCCGCCGCCGCCGCCGCCGCCGCCGCGCCGCCCCCCC